AUUGAACGCUGGCGGCAUGCUUUACACAUGCAAGUCGAACGGUAACAGGUCUUCGGAUGCUGACGAGUGGCGAACGGGUGAGUAAUGUAUCGGAACGUGCCCAGUAGUGGGGGAUAACUACUCGAAAGAGUGGCUAAUACCGCAUGAGAACUGAGGUUGAAAGCGGGGGGACCUUCGGGCCUCGCGCUACUGGAGCGGCCGAUAUCAGAUUAGGUAGUUGGUGGGGUAAAGGCCUACCAAGCCGACGAUCUGUAGCUGGUCUGAGAGGACGACCAGCCACACUGGGACUGAGACACGGCCCAGACUCCUACGGGAGGCAGCAGUGGGGAAUUUUGGACAAUGGACGCAAGUCUGAUCCAGCAAUGCCGCGUGCAGGACGAAGGCCUUCGGGUUGUAAACUGCUUUUAUACAGGAAGAAACACCUCCACGUGUGGAGGCUUGACGGUACUGUAGGAAUAAGGAUCGGCUAACUCCGUGCCAGCAGCCGCGGUAAACU
RNAcentral lists this ribosomal RNA (496 nucleotides) under uncultured bacterium. Its description in RNAcentral is "bacterial SSU rRNA". It matches the Rfam family "Bacterial small subunit ribosomal RNA", at positions 30 to 526 of the family's 1533-position model. The record is from RNAcentral.